RNAcentral lists this ribosomal RNA (253 nucleotides) under uncultured bacterium. RNAcentral's name for it is "partial 16S ribosomal RNA". It matches the Rfam family "Bacterial small subunit ribosomal RNA", at positions 524 to 776 of the family's 1533-position model. The record is from RNAcentral.
UACAGAGGGUGCGAGCGUUGUCCGGAAUCACUGGGCGUAAAGGGCGCGUAGGCGGUGACUUAAGCGUGUGGUGAAAGCUCGGGGCUCAACCCCGAGUCGGCCGUGCGAACUGGGUCACUGGAGCAGAUCAGAGGCAGGCGGAAUUCCGGGUGUAGCGGUGGAAUGCGUAGAGAUCCGGAAGAACACCGGUAGCGAAGGCGGCCUGCUGGGAUCUUGCUGACGCUGAGGCGCGACAGCGUGGGGAGCAAACAGG